UCCCAGACUCCUACGGGAGGCAGCAGUGGGGAAUAUUGCACAAUGGGGGAAACCCUGAUGCAGCAACGCCGCGUGAGUGAAGAAGUCAUUCGUGAUGUAAAGCUCUAUCAGCAGGGAAGAAAAUGACGGUACCUGAGUAAGAAGCCCCGGCUAACUACGUGCCAGCAGCCGCGGUAAUACGUAGGGGGCGAGCGUUAUCCGGAUUCACUGGGUGUAAAGGGAGCGUAGACGGCCAAGCAAGCCAGGGGUGAAAGCCCGGGGCCCAACCCCGGGACUGCCCUUGGAACUGCAUGGCUGGAGUGCGGGAGGGGCAGGCGGAAUUCCUGGUGUAGCGGUGAAAUGCGUAGAUAUCAGGAGGAACACCGGCGGCGAAGGCGGCCUGCUGGACCGCGACUGACGUUGAGGCUCGAAAGCGUGGGGAGCGAACAGGAUUAGAUACCCUCGUAC
RNAcentral lists this ribosomal RNA (447 nucleotides) under uncultured bacterium. RNAcentral describes it as "bacterial SSU rRNA". It matches the Rfam family "Bacterial small subunit ribosomal RNA", at positions 329 to 793 of the family's 1533-position model. The record is from RNAcentral.